This 918-nucleotide ribosomal RNA is filed under the name uncultured bacterium. RNAcentral describes it as "bacterial SSU rRNA". It matches the Rfam family "Bacterial small subunit ribosomal RNA", at positions 33 to 947 of the family's 1533-position model. The record is from RNAcentral.
ACGCUGGCGGCGUGCUUAACACAUGCAAGUCGAACGCUGAAGCCUAGCUUGCUGGGUGGAUGAGUGGCGAACGGGUGAGUAACACGUGAGUAACCUGCCCUCUUCUUUGGGAUAACGCCCGGAAACGGGUGCUAAUACUGGAUAUUCACUGAUCCUCGCAUGGGGGUUGGUGGAAAGGUUUUUUCUGGUGGGGGAUGGGCUCGCGGCCUAUCAGCUUGUUGGUGGGGUGAUGGCCUACCAAGGCUUUGACGGGUAGCCGGCCUGAGAGGGUGACCGGUCACAUUGGGACUGAGAUACGGCCCAGACUCCUACGGGAGGCAGCAGUGGGGAAUAUUGCACAAUGGGCGAAAGCCUGAUGCAGCGACGCCGCGUGAGGGAUGGAGGCCUUCGGGUUGUAAACCUCUUUCGCUCAUGGUCAAGCCGCAACGUUUGGUUGUGGUGAGGGUAGUGGGUAAAGAAGCGCCGGCUAACUACGUGCCAGCAGCCGCGGUAAUACGUAGGGCGCGAGCGUUGUCCGGAAUUAUUGGGCGUAAAGGGCUUGUAGGCGGUUGGUCGCGUCUGCCGUGAAAUCCUCUGGCUUAACUGGGGGCGUGCGGUGGGUACGGGCUGACUUGAGUGCGGUAGGGGAGACUGGAACUCCUGGUGUAGCGGUGGAAUGCGCAGAUAUCAGGAAGAACACCGGUGGCGAAGGCGGGUCUCUGGGCCGUUACUGACGCUGAGGAGCGAAAGCGUGGGGAGCGAACAGGAUUAGAUACCCUGGUAGUCCACGCUGUAAACGUUGGGCACUAGGUGUGGGGGCCACCCGUGGUUUCUGCGCCGUAGCUAACGCUUUAAGUGCCCCGCCUGGGGAGUACGGCCGCAAGGCUAAAACUCAAAGGAAUUGACGGGGGCCCGCACAAGCGGCGGAGCAUGCGGACU